Molecule: ribosomal RNA, 309 nt
Filed under: Triticum aestivum (bread wheat)
Lineage: Eukaryota; Viridiplantae; Streptophyta; Magnoliopsida; Poales; Poaceae
Description: partial small subunit ribosomal RNA
Source: RNAcentral
AUGAGAAGGUUGAUCCGUAUGUUCACCUGCCCCAACUUGCUUGGGACAAAAGGCUUUGUUGUUGUUGUUGUCGUUGUCGUUCUUGUGGUUGUUCUUGUCAUCGUGGUUGUCGUCGUCGUCGUCGUCGUUGUUGUUGUUGUUGUUGUUGUUGUCGUUGACGUUGUCAUUGUUGUUGUUGUUGUUGUCGUUGACGUUGUCAUUGUUGUUGUUGUUGUUGUCGUCAUGGUUGUCGUUGUUGUUGUCGUCGUGGUUGUGUCGUCGUCAUCGUCGUCAUUGUUGUUCACCUUUCCUGUUUAUCAACUCAUGUGA